CAAUAAGAGUGUUUUAUGGCACUCUUUCAAAAAAUCCAUACCCGCCUUGUGUGCAAUGUAAAAAAAAAGGAGUUUUCCUGGUGGUUUGGGAGUGAGAGUUGUUUUACAACGCUCAUUUUUUUUUCCUCAAGAGACACUUUUUUUUUCAUUUCCAUUAUACACCUUUCUAUAAGUUUCCUAUUGUCUGAAGUACUUGGAAUAAAUAUAAUUCUAAAAUA
Molecule: unclassified non-coding RNA, 218 nt
Filed under: soil metagenome
Description: partial internal transcribed spacer 1
Source: RNAcentral